UCAGCCGCCGCGGUAACACCGGCGGCCCGAGUGGUGAUCGUGAUUAUUGGGUCUAAAGGGUCCGUAGCCGGUUCGGUCAGUCCUCCGGGAAAUCUGAUAGCUCAACUAUUAGGCUUUCGGGGGAUACUGCCAGACUUGGAACCGGGAGAGGUAAGAGGUACUACAGGGGUAGGAGUGAAAUCUUGUAAUCCCUGUGGGACCACCUGUGGCGAAGGCGUCUUACCAGAACGGGUUCGACGGUGAGGGACGAAAGCUGGGGGCACGAACCGGAUUAGAUACCCGGGUAGUCCCAGCCGUAAACGAUGCUCGCUAGGUGUCAGGCAUGGCGCGACCGUGUCUGGUGCCGCAGGGAAGCCGUGAAGCGAGCCACCUGGGAAGUACGGCCGCAAGGCUGAAACUUAAAGGAAUUGGCGGGGGAGCACAACAACGGGUGGAGCCCUGCGGUUUAAUUGGACUCAACGCCGGACAACUCACCGGGGGCGACAGCAAUAUGUAGGCCAAGCUGAAGACUUUGUCUGAAUCGCUGAGUAGAGGUGCAUGG
RNAcentral lists this ribosomal RNA (541 nucleotides) under uncultured archaeon. Its description in RNAcentral is "bacterial SSU rRNA". It matches the Rfam family "Archaeal small subunit ribosomal RNA", at positions 458 to 997 of the family's 1478-position model. The record is from RNAcentral.